UACGGGGGGGGCAAGCGUUGUUCGGAAUUACUGGGCGUAAAGGGCUCGUAGGCGGCCAACUAAGUCGGAUGUGAAAUCCCCAGGCUUAACCUGGGAACUGCAUCCGAUACUGGAUGGCUUGAAUCCGGGAGAGGGAUGCAGAAUUCCAGGUGUAGCGGUGAAAUGCGUAGAUAUCUGGAGGAAUACCGGUGGCGAAGGCGGCAUUCUGGACCGACAUUGACGCUGAACGGCGAAAGCUAGGGGAGCAAACAGG
This 253-nucleotide ribosomal RNA is filed under the name uncultured bacterium. RNAcentral describes it as "partial 16S ribosomal RNA". It matches the Rfam family "Bacterial small subunit ribosomal RNA", at positions 524 to 776 of the family's 1533-position model. The record is from RNAcentral.